This is a long non-coding RNA of Herpailurus yagouaroundi (jaguarundi), 2846 nucleotides long. RefSeq lists it as uncharacterized. NCBI's taxonomy places the organism in Eukaryota, Metazoa, Chordata, Mammalia, Carnivora, Felidae. The record is from RefSeq and is a predicted model, not a curated record. The transcript is spliced from 3 exons.
UCGUGCUCUCUCUCUCUCUCUCUCUCUCACAAUCAAUAAACAUAAAAAUUUUUUUAAAAAUUCAAAAAUUGCCCUGCAAACUCUUUCUUUGAGAGUGUUUUCUAAAACAGAGAGAGAAACUGGGCUACAAUCUUACCAAUAAAUAUUUGUCGGCUUAUUAGACUAAAUGCGCCAGGUCCUUCACUGCCUACCUGAGUAUGAGAAUCACUGACUUCCUCUCUGGAAGCCCUUUCAGCUCUAACAUUCUGUGACCAUAAGGAAAGAAAGGUGCACGUAAGCUUAAUAUAAGCAGUCAGAGCCAUUCAGAAAUGUUAUGUGACUGGGGAGCACCUAUUAACUACAAGAAUUCAAGCAAACUCUUCUGGGCAUGCUAGAAAAAACCAGAGCUACAAUGAGCAAGGUGAGCUAGAAUGGAUGACUUCUGAGAAUCCUUCCAAAGAUUCUGUGAUUCAAUAAUGUGUCAAAAACACAGACACAGUCACUUCUUUUAGCUCUAAAAUUAUCAGGCAGUCAAAGAAGAUAAGUAGAUCUGCUAGUCAAAAGAGAAAAACAAUAGCUUUUUCUGUAAUAUUUCUAUGAAAAGGCAAAACAAUUAAUCGCCAAUAAUUUUUAAAUGUGCUCGCACACACCAUCUCAACUGGUCCUCAAAAGAAUCUUACAGAAAUAGAAGCAUAUGAGGGAAUAAAGGAUGUGACAGAGACCACUCGGUUCCAUCACUUGUUAACCCUGGGAACUUGGAGUAUUGAAAUCAAAUAGGUACUUAAAGCAUAUCUCAACAUGGAGCAUCCAUGCUUCAAGGGUUUAGUAACCAUCUGCAUCUAGUGGCUAUUGCCCUGGACAGUGCUUAAGGGAAGGCCAAGAAGAGAAUGGGGAAGAAUGAAGGGUAUUGGCAGCUUCAUCCGGUUCACCUCAGUGCUCUCCCAGAGAAAGAGGCGACAUGCCUGCCUAGAAGGAAAGUGAGGGAUGGAUGUGAAGGGAAGAUCGGAUUUGGAGCAGGUGCCAGGUGAGUCAAAAAGAGGUAAGAGGAGGAAAAGUUCCUUUAAAUGUUGGGUACCAUAAAUUUGCAAGGACCAGGUUUUUGCAGCAAAUUUUCUUUUAGGAGUUCAUAGUUGGAAGGACAGAGAAAGAAGACAGCAUAAAGACCAGUCCACAAUGCCUGGUGCAGUGAGCGUUACCAUAUUCAGUAACAAACAUUUAACAUGGGAGAGUGGGGGUGUGGCACAAUGAUGCCUCAGAGGACACUGAGAUGAUGAGCCGGCGUUCAGGUUGAGGAAAGAAACUAACACAAGCUGUCAGGCCAGGUUCUCAGUUCGGUUGCCAAGAAUAGCCUGGUAUGAUUUUGAAGGAUACUGAUGCCUGGGCCCGGCCCACAGAGACUGUGAUUUAAUUGAUCUGGGCUGAGGUCUGGAGCAUCUGUGUUUUUAAAAGUGUCCCCAGGUGAGCAACCCUGCAGUAAGGAGAUACAGAUGGGGAAAAGCAGAAGGGGUUAGGGGACUGAAGGUUCUACUGAGGAUAGAGUACAGGAUGAAGUAAAAAUGCUAUUUAUGGUCUCAGGUCUGAAAAUUCCCAGGAAAAAGAAGGAUCUGACUUUACAUAAAAGAAAGUAUCUAUGUUUUAGGAUCCAAAUGUGAUCUCAGCUAGUUUCCACUGGACAGACGUCAUUAUUCCCUGACAGUCAUAAUUGGCACUGUGGUAGGCAGAUGGUUGAACGGUAAAAGAAACUUUACAAAAAAAAAAAGUUAUUUCAAAAAGAAAGUUGCCUACCCACAACAGACUUGCAGGGUCUUUCUGAGGCCAAGUGCGACAGAGGAGAGACAAGUGUCGAGAGGACACAGGAUGCUCAGGAAAUCUCAUCUUGGCCAGACCCAAGGUCAGUCAUUUCAGCUGAUCACAAGAGACCUCCUGUGGGAGGCCUUGGAGCACCUCUCUGACUCCAACUGUAAAAAUCAGGCUUAGCCCUGGUUUUCUUAGUAGCCAUUUAUGGCUCUCAUUCAUAAAUUUGGCUAAGAGGUUUUUGAAUUCAUUUACAUUUCCUGCCAGCACCACCUUUUGGGACCAAAGAGCUCCAUAAGUUUAUAACCUGCUGUGUGAAGUAGAUUUCCUUUCAUUUUCCCUAAACUUACUUCACUGUGUUUUAAAGAGUGCCCUCCUUGUCCUAAAAAGAAAAAGUAAACAGGAUUAUAAGAUGAGGACAGAUUGGCUGAAGUAAGCAGGGCAGAAAAAGAGCUAGGUGUUAUAAGGAACCACAGACUACCUUAAAUCCGAAGUAUAGUUUUAAAAGACAAACAUGGCUGGAAUGCGUGACCAAGAGGGGAGCUGAGUGUGCCACACAACAAUGGCUCCAUUGUUCUCAGAACCCCCUAGACCCUUCCAGGGGCUCUGCAUCCUGUUUGGGGCACCACUGCUCAAAUGAAAGGGAGAACUUGAAUGUUUAGCAGAUAUCAAUAAUACUGAUUAAAUCACUGGAAAAGAAAGAAAAAUUCAACAAAUGUGGACUUUUCUGGUUAGAGAAAAGAAAACUGUUCCAUACAAACGGAUCUAGGAUAUGACGUAUAAAAUGGAAAAUAGUUGUUCUACAUUUGAGUUAAAACACAAAGAGAAGGAACCGGCAUCAGAUGGUCGUUCAGCUUUGCCAUGAGAAGGAAGCUCCCGACACUGGCAGUUAUAUGUAGGACUGAGAAAACUAUGCAUUUCUUAAAAAUUCCUAUUUCCAGAAUGAUUUGGGGCUCAUCUUGUCUUUGCACUUGCCUCAACGGAUUUUAAAGACAGCUAACUGAGUUAUUUACCUAACAUGCUUAGGAAAUAAGCACCUUAGAAAAUAAAGAAAUUUGUGGUUAAAAUAUUAA